This 484-nucleotide ribosomal RNA is filed under the name uncultured bacterium. RNAcentral's name for it is "partial 16S ribosomal RNA". It matches the Rfam family "Bacterial small subunit ribosomal RNA", at positions 30 to 507 of the family's 1533-position model. The record is from RNAcentral.
AUUGAACGCUGGCGGCAGGCCUAACACAUGCAAGUCGAGCGGAUGAAGGGAGCUUGCUCCUGGCUUCAGCGGCGGACGGGUGAGUAAUGCCUAGGAAUCUGCCUGGUAGUGGGGGAUAACGUCCGGAAACGGGCGCUAAUACCGCAUACGUCCUGAGGGAGAAAGUGGGGGAUCUUCGGACCUCACGCUAUCAGAUGAGCCUAGGUCGGAUUAGCUAGUUGGUGGGGUAAAGGCCUACCAAGGCGACGAUCCGUAACUGGUCUGAGAGGAUGAUCAGUCACACUGGAACUGAGACACGGUCCAGACUCCUACGGGAGGCGGCAGUGGGGAAUAUUGGACAAUGGGCGAAAGCCUGAUCCAGCCAUGCCGCGUGUGUGAAGAAGGUCUUCGGAUUGUAAAGCACUUUAAGUUGGGAGGAAGGGCAGUAAGUUAAUACCUUGCUGUUUUGACGUUACCAACAGAAUAAGCACCGGCUAACUUCGUG